RNAcentral lists this ribosomal RNA (252 nucleotides) under uncultured Ruminococcus sp. Its description in RNAcentral is "partial 16S ribosomal RNA". It matches the Rfam family "Bacterial small subunit ribosomal RNA", at positions 524 to 776 of the family's 1533-position model. Lineage: Bacteria; Bacillati; Bacillota; Clostridia; Eubacteriales; Oscillospiraceae. The record is from RNAcentral.
UACGUAGGGAGCGAGCGUUGUCCGGAAUUACUGGGUGUAAAGGGAGCGUAGGCGGGGAUGCAAGUUGGGUGUUAAAUCUACCGGCUCAACUGGUAGUCGCACUCAAAACUGCAGCUCUUGAGUGAAGUAGAGGCAGGCGGAAUUCCUAGUGUAGCGGUGAAAUGCGUAGAUAUUAGGAGGAACACCAGUGGCGAAGGCGAUUUGCUGGGCCAUCACUGACGCUGAGGUACGAAAGCGUGGGGAGCAAAUAGG